RNAcentral lists this ribosomal RNA (253 nucleotides) under uncultured bacterium. Its description in RNAcentral is "partial 16S ribosomal RNA". It matches the Rfam family "Bacterial small subunit ribosomal RNA", at positions 524 to 776 of the family's 1533-position model. The record is from RNAcentral.
UACGUAGGGUGCAAGCGUUGUCCGGAAUUAUUGGGCGUAAAGAGCUCGUAGGCGGUUCGUCGCGUCGGCUGUGAAAUCCCGAGGCUCAACCUCGGGUCUGCAGUCGAUACGGGCGGACUGGAGUUCGGCAGGGGAGACUGGAAUUCCUGGUGUAGCGGUGAAAUGCGCAGAUAUCAGGAGGAACACCGGUGGCGAAGGCGGGUCUCUGGGCCGUACCUGACACUGAGGCGCGACAGCAUGGGGAGCAAACAGG